RNAcentral lists this unclassified non-coding RNA (6109 nucleotides) under Gigantopelta aegis. RNAcentral's name for it is "bTB/POZ domain-containing protein 10-like, transcript variant X1". Lineage: Eukaryota; Metazoa; Mollusca; Gastropoda; Neomphalida; Peltospiridae. The record is from RNAcentral.
GCAGUUGCUAACUUAAAUGGUCACAGAAUUUUACGUUGUUGUUAUCAUUGAUGAUAAUUGUGAUAGAUACACACGUUAAAUAUUCAGUUCUAUUUUGGUUACCAAAUCAAUAACAACUGGCUGGUAACAAAAAAAGCCGACAGUCUUUCCCUUCCUCAUGUUCGAGAAGUGGAAUGGCCUAUCGUCGGCACAACUUCCAAAGCCACAGAGAUCACCGGGACAGUAGGUCAUAUGACAGCAGUGGCAGUGAGGAUACAGACUUCUCGGAAACCGAGGACCGGAGGAAGGCUUGCAUAAAACGGACAAGCAAUCUAAGCGGACCGACGAGAUCAAAGCCUUGCCUAGUGAACCGUGUGCGAAGUCUGAGUCUCGAGAACACAAGCAGUAACGAGGAGGGUGCGGCAUCGGACGGGAAGGUAUCGUCAGCCAGCUAUGCCCUGCGUCACUACCCGCACUCUGUCGAUCUAGCGCUGGCACAGAAUCAGCGCACUUUGUCGUCACAGCUCUCUGACGAGGCCAAUAGCGACCACUGUCAUAGUUCAGCAGCAACACCGUCUUUGGAGUACAACAUGGCAAUGAGUAUGGAAGCCAAAAUAUCCAAUGCUCCCACCAUGGCCACAAAGAGUGGAGAGAGACUCACUUUAGUAGUGGAUGGAACCCGUUUUGUAGUAGACCCUGAACUCUUUAAACCUCGACCUGAAACGAUGCUUGGCAGAAUGUUCACAUCAUCUUUAGAUCAUAAUAUCACUCGACCCAAUGAACGCGGGGAGUAUGAAGUGGCUGAAGGGAUCUCAGCUACAGUGUUUAGAUCUAUUUUGGAGUAUUACAAGACUGGUAUUGUGCGGUGUCCUCCUUGUGUGUCUGUCCGCGAUCUACGAGAAGCUUGCGACUACCUCCUUAUUCCAUUUGAUGCAAAAACAGUCAAGUGCCAGAACUUACGAGGCCUUUUACAUGAACUUUCCAAUGAGGGAGCACGACAACAGUUUCUAGCUUUCCUCGAGGACCUCCUUUUACCCCAGAUGGUUCUUUGUGCAGAGCAUGGUGAGCGUGAAUGUCACAUUGUUGUGUUGAUUGAUGACGACAUCGUAGAGUGGGAUGAUGAAUACCCUCCACAGAUGGGAGAAGAACAUUCACAAAUUAUUUACAGUACGCCUGUGUAUAGGUUCUUUAGAUACAUAGAGAACAGGGAUGUAGCCAAGCAGGUUUUAAAAGAAAGGGGUCUUAAGAAAAUACGGCUUGGAAUUGAAGGAUACCCUACAAAUAUGGAGAAAGUGAAGAAACGGCCUGGUGGACGGCAGGAAGUUAUAUACAAUUACGUUCAGAGACCGUUUAUCCGAAUGUCGUGGGAGAAGGAAGAAGCUAAGAGUCGCCAUGUUGACUUCCAGUGUGUGAAAUCCAAGUCAAUCACCAACCUGGCGGCGGCCGCCAAUGAUGCACACGACCAGAGUAUUGUCCAGCAGGAUCAGGACGGGACUAUAAACAUCGUUCCCCCCCAGCCUUCACCGUCGGAGCCUUACCCUGACGUCGAACUUCCCCCUGAAGGGGAUGCUGACUGAUGCUGCCGCAGACUCUGUUGUAUGUUGUGAGUGAGGGGGGAGCUGUUUCUUGAGGCUGUGUUGGAGUGAUACUUGUGUUCAGAAUCAGGCUGGACAUUCCUGUGGUUCUACUGGAUAGUCUUGAUAAUAUCAGGAGUGGAUGAUGUGCUUUGUGGAGUAAAGUGAGCAUCAUCUACAGGGCUGUGCAUUAACUCUCAACAUCUGCUUGUUUGAUCUGAAAUGUGCUCUCCUGACCCAAAUAUGUCUGUUGAAAGUAUCAAACAAAAAUGAUGUGGUAUGUGCUGUCCUGUCUGUUGGAAAGUGCACAUAAUAGAUCCCAUGCUGCUAAUGGAAAAAUGUAGCGGGUUUGUCACAGUAUGUCACAAUUAUCAAGUGUUUGACAGCCAACAGCCAAUACAUGUAAUUAUGUAAUUAAUACAUCAGUGUUCUCUAGUGGUCUUGUUAAUCAAAACAAGAACUUUUAACUUCUUGAAUCAAGCAAUAUACAAGUUGUUUUUCAAUAGACUUGACCAUUGGCAUAGCUUAUUGCACUUUUGUUUCCUUCUUUUUUCUUUGGGAGGGGGUAACAAUGGCAGAUCAACAAGCCUAUGCUUGUACUUCAUGCUAAGGGUAUACUAAUGGUGUAUGUUCUUUUUGAUUGGUUGGAAUUAAUUUGAUUAGUCUUGUAAUUUGAUUCUUAUAUGGUUGUGUGUUGCAUACUUGAUACAGUAUUAGUGUAGAACACUUAAACCAACCACUAAGUAGUUAUGUCCCUUGAUCUAUUUGUUGUGCUGUUUGGGGGAAUGUGAGCAUCUUUGCUUAGGACUUUAGUCCCAACGUGGUCUUCAUUAGGAAUUUUUUUUUUUUUAUAUAUAUAACAAAGUUUGGUGAGAGUUUUACUUUUAGCUGGAACAUGUUUUCUCUUAAUCAGCAUUUGGGUUUUGAAGUCCAUUUUAUGUGUGCUUGUAUACAUGUACGGUACAUGUAUAUUGCUGAUAAUUGCUCUAAUAUUUACAGAAAUUAAACUUAUUGAUAAUUUGUGAUGCAUCCAUGAAAAUAUCCCACAAACAACUCAGAUAUGGAAAUCAAAUAGUGCUCUAGUUUUUAGAUCAUGAAAUAAUUUUGAAUUUUUUUUAUUAGAAACUUAGCAUAUUUCUUGUUUUCUUUCAAAUAUGAAUAUUUUAUUGCUUGAAGCCUGCAGUCAUAAUACUCCAGUCGUGUGUAGACUAGGCUUGUAAGUGAAUACUCAGGAAAUGAUUUGAAAUUGGUUAAAUUAUUUGCAUAUGCAGGGGUGCAGAAAAAAUAAAUAUGUCACUAGUCAACUGGACUGGUACCAACCACAAUUUACUAGUCUGUCAGAAUAUUCAUACUAGUCCAUCAGUCUACACGAGAAUAUAAUAUUGAUAUAAUUCAGCAAUAACUUCAAUAACCAUCCAGUGACUUCUUUAUUUCCUCCUCAACACAUACUGCUGUUUUAAAAUAUAUUUUAUGUUAAAUGUUAUAGCUUAGUUACAAGUUGCACAACAAAUACUGCAUUAAGGAAUUAAAAACAAUAUACAUAUGUGUUAUUUAUUUAUUUUAUUUAUUAAUUGACACUCAACAUAUUUUAAUUACGGUUAUAUGGCAUCAGACAGAUGUUUAAGUGGUGGCAGUUCGUUUCCUCUUCCAUUCUGUGUAUAUAGUCACUAUAUACAGAGAAUGGAAGAGGAAACGAGCUGCCACCACUCAAUGGGGUACUCUUUCCGAUUAGCAUCAAGAGAUAUUUUAUAUACAGCAUCCCACAGACAGGACUACAUACCAUGGCUUUUGUUACACCAUGGGCUACGUUUCGUCUCGCAGUAUAUUUCAUGAACAUACAGAUUCAUUCAAUGUAUAUUCGACAAACAGUUGAAUGGGGACAUAUGGGAGUCUUUACAAAAAAGGAGGUUGCCAGUCAGAUUGGGGUUUAUAUUUUUUAUUUGCAUUUGGCAAAUGGACUAGUAGUUUCUGUACCCCUAAUAUGUGCCCAUUUGUGUAUACUAUUCUCUGCUCAAACUAUUAUAUUUGUUAUUCAUUUGAUUUUACCUGAUGUAUGUACAUGUAAUUACAAGUGUUCCACUAUUAUACAAUUUAUUCUAUUCUGAUUGGACAAUGUCGCUAAAAAGACAGCUUGUUAUCCUUUGAUAAAUGAUGUCAAAUGGCACGUCAUCCGAUUUAUAUGGGUCUUUUUAAACUAAAUAAGUUGUGUUUGUAAUUAUAAGAAUGGUUUGUCCUUUUUUGUGAAUUUAUUGUCGAAUAAGUCACAAAUUUUGGUAUUAAAUUUGUGACUUAUACCUUGGUAAAUUCAAGCAAAACAUUAUGUCUUACUAUAUCACCUGUAGUUAAAUUGUAACGAAUUGGUUUUUAAGAUAUCCAAUGCUUCACAUGUUUUUCUUUUAAUAUGCAUCUGUAAACCAUGUAAAAAAUAUAUAUAUAUUGUCUUUGAUAUACAGUUGGACUAUUAACACAAAAAUGUUAAAUGGCUGAUAUGUAACUUCUUGUAUGUUCAUUAUUUAUUAUAUUUUUGUUCUGAUAUUAAAUAUGAAUUAAUUUUCAUAUAGCUUUGUGAAAACAGAAUUAGGGGAUUUUCAACAGCUGGGGGGAGGGGUGGGCAAAAACGUUUUAAUGAUGCCUCACUCAAUACAUUGUUUAACCUGUAGCUGUUUGGUGACUAACACUUGACAAUUAUAACUAGUGAUGGGAAUUGGUUAGAAUUUAAUCAUCAAUCAUCAGUUAUAAUUGGUUUGCACUAACCGGUCUACUUUCAGUUAUACAAUCGGUCAGAAUUACAAGAAGAUAAGGACCAUGCACCCUAUUGUGUUUAUCAGGAUAAACCCCACAAAUUGAUAAUUUUACCUUUAAUAACUAUUUAAUUUUUUUUUUUAAUUAACACAAGAAAACAAAUACCAACCCUGAUAUAUUUACACCAAUUCCAUCAUUUAAAAUGGAGGAACAUUACAGUUAAGAUUUUCCCACUCAAUUGAUUAUGGAAUUUUAUAAUUGAUCACCAUCAGUUCGAUCUAUUUUCGAUUAUAAUCAAUCAAUGGAACAGCAUCACUAAUUAUAACUGAUGUUGUUGUGUUUAACUGGCUGCUGUUUUAAGUUCUAAAACUUGGUAAUUAUAACUGGUGUAGUGUUGGAGAAGAAGCUUACCUCUGUCACAUAGGCUAUUGUUCAUCCUCCAACCCAUUGCACCUCUGGUGUUCUAACCACAGAGCUACAUGUACAUCUGACUCUAAAUAGAUGUGUGUGUCCUUUCAUUGUGAUGAAGGACUGUUUGUAAUAAUUGGCAUCUCAUAAAAUCAGCACCAUCAGGGUUUUCCUGUCAUUAAUUGUUGAUACAUAUGUAUACUUAUGCAGUUUACAUUUGAAGAAUUAACCAUACAAUAGCAGAAUUUUAAUUUUAAUAUUUUUUUUUUUUCAGUUAAUUAAUUUUAUGUAUUAAUUAUUUUUAAAAUGACAUAUAGAGGUGAAGCACUUCUUGUUGAGUUGUGGUUACUGUACCAAUAUUCACAAAUUUCUUAUGUAUUAAGUUAUGUAUUAAUGCAUCAAUGUGAAAAACAAGCCUGGAUGAUGGCCCUUUAGCAGAAUCUUGCACAGUAUGUUACAGUCACAGAAAACAAAGCAACAACAGAAAUCUCUCUAAACAUAUAGAAAUCUUCCUGUAGUAGGUAGUCGUCAUUAAAUAUUGAUGUAAAUGAAAGCCUUGUAUCAGUGUUUGGUUCUGUAUGUUGGUGGUGUGACUGUAUGGUUCAAAACUGGUUCAAAAGAAAUAGUUAAAUGUUAAUGUUAGCAACAUGUGAGACUAGUAAAGUGUGUGAGAAAUCAUGUGAACAGAAUCCAAGAAACAGUGUUGCCUUUAAACAUGUUUACAGUGUUUGUAUAUUUCAAAUUCCACAACAUGGUGCUACAUAAUGAAGUCGAUGCAAAUUUAUCUAAUGCUAGUAGAUACAAGAAGAGGUCCAAGUCGCACACACCUGCUGUCAUACAAUCAAGAACAAAUAUGUUGAAUGCAUAUGUGAUGGUUAGGACCAUAAACCCUUCUUCUUUUAAAGUAAUACAGCUUCGGAUGUGUAGGCCCAGUUCCAUUUCUAGAAUGGCUAGGAUGUUUGUCUCAAUAUAUAAACAACAUCAACCAAUAGCCUGUUUGUUGUUACCAGUUACAUAUAGGUGGUGUUGUUGUUUUCUUCUAAUAUUGGCUAGUAUACCCCCUCCCUUCAAAACACAUAACAGCCAUGCAUGGUGAGUCACCAGCUUGUAAACACCAUUGUGAAGCAAGGAAUAAAGCCACAAUUAUUUAUGGUAUCGGUGAACCAUGGUUUGUUGUCAGGGUCACAUUUAUCGACGUUUUACUCGCCAUGCAUCUUCAUAAAUCAAGGCUAAUAUUCGUUCCUCGUAUUCAGCCUUGAUGCAUGUAGUCAAGAAAUCUUGCCACAAAAUGCUUAAAUUUCAUUAGAUGCGAUGAAAUCUGAUUGCAACGAAUCGCAACGCUCCUUAUAGAUUCCCUUGUUAUUGUAAACAAAGAUGGCAGCAUCAGCGUCCGUGGAAACGUGUCG